This 516-nucleotide ribosomal RNA is filed under the name Pseudomonas sp. RIT-PI-r. RNAcentral describes it as "bacterial LSU rRNA". It matches the Rfam family "Bacterial large subunit ribosomal RNA", at positions 2432 to 2925 of the family's 2925-position model. The record is from RNAcentral. Lineage: Bacteria; Pseudomonadati; Pseudomonadota; Gammaproteobacteria; Pseudomonadales; Pseudomonadaceae.
UAUGGAAGGGCCAUCGCUCAACGGAUAAAAGGUACUCCGGGGAUAACAGGCUGAUACCGCCCAAGAGUUCAUAUCGACGGCGGUGUUUGGCACCUCGAUGUCGGCUCAUCACAUCCUGGGGCUGAAGCCGGUCCCAAGGGUAUGGCUGUUCGCCAUUUAAAGUGGUACGCGAGCUGGGUUUAGAACGUCGUGAGACAGUUCGGUCCCUAUCUGCCGUGGACGUUUGAGAUUUGAGAGGGGCUGCUCCUAGUACGAGAGGACCGGAGUGGACGAACCUCUGGUGUUCCGGUUGUCACGCCAGUGGCAUUGCCGGGUAGCUAUGUUCGGGAAAGAUAACCGCUGAAAGCAUCUAAGCGGGAAACUUGCCUCAAGAUGAGAUCUCACUGGAACCUUGAGUUCCCUGAAGGGCCGUCGAAGACUACGACGUUGAUAGGUUGGGUGUGUAAGCGCUGUGAGGCGUUGAGCUAACCAAUACUAAUUGCCCGUGAGGCUUGACCAUAUAACACCCAAGCAAUU